Molecule: ribosomal RNA, 99 nt
Filed under: Carlito syrichta (Philippine tarsier)
Lineage: Eukaryota; Metazoa; Chordata; Mammalia; Primates; Tarsiidae
Source: RNAcentral
UCUGUAGCCAUACCACCUUGAACACACCUGAUCUCACCCGGUCUCGGAAGCUAAGCAUGGUGGUAAGUACUAAGCCUGGUUAGUACUUGGUUGGGAGAA